Long non-coding RNA from Papaver somniferum (opium poppy), 1740 nucleotides. RefSeq lists it as uncharacterized. The transcript is spliced from 3 exons. Lineage: Eukaryota; Viridiplantae; Streptophyta; Magnoliopsida; Ranunculales; Papaveraceae. The record is from RefSeq and is a predicted model, not a curated record.
UCUUCUUCUUAUCUUCUUCUUCUUUCUUCUCUUCUCUUUCCUUUCUCUCCUGUUCUUCUUUCUCUUGCGUGGUUGAGAGAUCAAAUGGGAGUUUUGAGAUCUUGCGAAGAAGGGUAUGAGCAACGGAUCAGUGAUGGUGCUGGUAUUGAUUCAAGUAGUUAGUUCUCUAUCACGGGAAGAGCAAAUUCAAAGAGGGAGUUCGUUAGGGUUCAUGAGAAGAAUCCCUGAGAAGAUUAGAAGAUGAAGUUGAUACUUUAGAGGAUUAAUAAGAGAUGGGUGUGAUUGAUAUGAGGAAUUAUUUAUGUUUUGAACAUGAAUCGGAAGACAGAGGAUUGAGAAUCAAUUUUAGGGUUUUCUGGAAAUUGCCUUGAAGUUCAUUUGGUGACGAUUAUGAAGAAAUUGGAAGAUGGGUAAGUUCUCAAUUGAUGUUUAGUUGAAGCUGUAGAGUUGUUUGUGGAUUGUCUCAGUGAAUUAGGGUUUGAGUUGGAAAUUCGGAUGAUGAUCUAGAAGAUGAAAUCGAAGGUUUAAGUGGAAGAUUUAAGAUGGGUAUUGAUCAAUUGAUUGAAUUAAUCUUAAGGACGAUGAGUAAUUCGAGAUUGGAUAAGUUUGGGUUUUGAAGAUGAGAUCCAUUGAAGUUGUUGGCAGAAUUAGGAUUAGAUUGUGUUUAUGAGAAGGUGAUAAAGACUGUGGAUUGCUGUUAGUUUUGAGACGAUUGCUCGAUUGAGUCAAGAGAAGAAGGAAUUGGACUCCAACUUCCUGAGUGAGUCUAUUACAAGGUAACUGUUCUUCAAGUAAACUUUUUAAAGUUAUUAUUGUUAAUGGUUGAAUGUGUGUGUUAUAAUUGAAGCUAAUUUGGAAUUGAAUAUGAAGUAGAACUGUUGGUAUGUUAAGGUUUGGGAUGAAGUUAAGAUAUUUGAGUUGAAAGUUUAAUUACAACUGAGUUUAAAAUGAAUGGAGUUUUGUUCUAAUGAAGGAUACAUAUGUGUUGAUUUCUGAUGCAGCUCAAUGUGUAUGUAUGAAAAUGAUGAGAAUGGAAAUUUACAGUGGUAGUGUUGCAAGGGAACUGAGAUUAGAUGUUUUGAAGAGUGUUAAUUGAGAUUGUGGUGGUAGUAUGUUUUACUGUAUUGAUGCAGCGGUGGCUAAAGUGACGUGUAAUUUAGGAUGAGGUUGUUGGGGUUAUGUUGGAUGUCAUGGUUAAAGAGAUAGAAGAUGAUAUGAGGUACAGUUAAUGAUAGCUGUAGUUGGGAAUGAAACUGAUGAUAAAUGAAUUGAAGUAUGUUGUGUGGUUACAGUGAAAGGGUUUAUAUGAGUGGAUAGAUCUGAGAUUGAGCUUAGUUUGAUAGUGAUGAUAGAAUUGUACAUUGUAUUCCUAUGAAAGCUUGGAAGCUUGCAACUACUUCAAUUUCAGUUAGUCUAUAUUAACAACGAUCGAUUCAAAGGAUGAACCAGUGGAUCGUGGAUCUCGAGGUAGGCGUGGCUUGUCAUCAAAAGAGUUUUCAGAGACAGAUCAGAGUUGCGCAGCGAAAGCCACAAGUGUUGACUCCGUUAAUUAGUUAACUUCUACUAUGUUUAUUAUGUUGUUUAUGGUAUCUGUAAACCAAUUGACUAUUGUAUAUGUAACAUUUGAGAGAAGUUGAUGUAUUUAUAUUUCUGAACGGGGCUAGUAUUUGGGUUAAGUUUUGUAGCAUAUUCCUUAAUUGAAUGCUUAAGUAUAUGAUUUGGAUCAUUAGUGCUUCUUUA